UUCAUCAUUUUAACAAUUGAAAAAUCAGGACCUCAUUCUUCACUUCAGCCCUAACUUGCUCAUUCUCUCUCUCCCUCCCUCCGUAAUCGAUCUUCAUUCCUGUAAGAGCUCCAAGGCAAAUUGAGCUCCACAUUUGAAGAUUAAUAGUCGUUUUUCAAUUAACAAUUGAAGAUUGAGCUCAAUCUUCAAUUGUCAAUCUUCAAUCUCUCGUACCUCGGUUUGCUCAAUCUUCAGCCCUAAAGUCGGGAGCUCCAAGGCAGAUUGGGAGCUCAAUCUUCAAAUUUUGGUUGUAGUGAAGGAUGUGCCUAUUAAUACAAAGGAUACAGAUGUUAUUAUAGAUAAUGGUUACUUUGAGAAUCGGCACUCCUUCUUAAGCUUCUGUCAAGGAAAUCAUUAUCAGUUUGAUACCCUUCGCCAUGUCAAGCAUUUCUCAAUGAUGAUCCUUUAUUAUCUCCAUAAUCCAACCAAGCAAAGUGUUGGGACCAGCUGCUGCAUUUGCCAUCAGGAUAUUGUGGUGAAUCAGGGAUGGCACUGUGAGAUCUGUCCAAGGUUUGAUGCUUGUGAUGGAUGCUAUCAUAGAAAAGGUGAUGAUUGUCAUAUUCAUAAAUUAAUGUUCAUCCGUUGUAAAUUGUGGGUCAAAGAAUGGACAGACUCAGCAACAGAAAUCUACGCAGAUGAGGGAAAUACUGGAUGUUCUGAUGCAUGCCUCCUAAUGUAAUGUGACCAAAAGCAGCAUCUGCUCCUAUCCAAACUGUGUUCUGGUAAUAAGGCUUUUCCACCAUUCACAUCAAUGCAAUCUUCGGUUUGCUGGGGGCUGUCUCACCCGUCAGAAAACCUGGAUGCUGCUGGCAUUGCACUCAAAAGAUUGAAGGAAAUAACAAGAGGUUAUGUUCAAUGCAAUUUUGGAGAACACUUGCAGUGAGCAAGGAGCAAGGAUGUCUGCCAUGGAUAAAUUCCAGCAAAAAUGCUGGCGAGAUGCUUGAUCGCCUCACACUUAUUAUAACAGGAAUGUCCAAAGGGUGUCACACUUAAGUAUAGCUUGAAGCCUCUUGUGCCAAGCCUGUCUGAUAUAAAGCCUGAUAUUGAUGAUGAGAAAAUGCUUUUUUAGAUAUUUUCUUUGAAGAAACUAUUGUUGCUAUGCUUCAUUUGAACUGUUACUACUUCGAUUUGAAUUUGGAAACUUUCAGUUUUAAUUUUUGUCAAAUUUACUUUCUAUAUACUCACUAUGAUUUGGGAAUAGAGUGGGUUUGAUAUGUGAAUGUCAA
Camellia sinensis is the source of this 1265-nucleotide non-coding RNA. Lineage: Eukaryota; Viridiplantae; Streptophyta; Magnoliopsida; Ericales; Theaceae. The record is from RefSeq and is a predicted model, not a curated record.